AGAGUUUGAUCAUGGCUCAGGAUGAACGCUAGCUACAGGCUUAACACAUGCAAGUCGAGGGGAAACGACAUCGAAAGCUUGCUUUUGAUGGGCGUCGACCGGCGCACGGGUGAGUAACGCGUAUCCAACCUGCCCACCACUUGGGGAUAACCUUGCGAAAGUAAGACUAAUACCCAAUGACGUCUCUAGAAGACAUCUGAAGGAGAUUAAAGAUUUAUCGGUGAUGGAUGGGGAUGCGUCUGAUUAGCUUGUUGGCGGGGUAACGCCACAAGGCGACGAUCGAGUAGGGGUUCUGAGAGGAACGGUCCCCCANAUUGGAACUGAGACACGGUACCAAACUCCGUACGGGAGCA
This 353-nucleotide ribosomal RNA is filed under the name uncultured bacterium. RNAcentral describes it as "bacterial SSU rRNA". It matches the Rfam family "Bacterial small subunit ribosomal RNA", at positions 8 to 349 of the family's 1533-position model. The record is from RNAcentral.